This 478-nucleotide ribosomal RNA is filed under the name uncultured bacterium. RNAcentral describes it as "partial 16S ribosomal RNA". It matches the Rfam family "Bacterial small subunit ribosomal RNA", at positions 28 to 523 of the family's 1533-position model. The record is from RNAcentral.
GACGAACGCUGGCGGCGUGCUUAACACAUGCAAGUCGAACGGUAAGGCCCUUCGGGGUACACGAGUGGCGAACGGGUGAGCAACACGUGGGUGAUCUGCCCUGCACUUCGGGAUAAGCCUGGGAAACUGGGUCUAAUACCGGAUAGGACCCUGGGAUGCAUGUCCUGGGGUGGAAAGCUUUUGCGGUGUGGGAUGGGCCCGCGGCCUAUCAGCUUGUUGGUGGGGUGAUGGCCUACCAAGGCGACGACGGGUAGCCGGCCCGAGAGGGUGAACGGACACACUGGGACGGAGAGACGGCCCAGAGUCCGACGGGAGGCAGCAGUGGGGAAUAUUGCACAAUGGGCGCAAGACUGAUGCAGCGACGCCGCGUGAGGGAUGACGGCCUUCGGGUUGUAAACCUCUUUCAGCACCGACGAAGCGCAAGUGACGGUAGGUGCAGAAGAAGGACCGGCCAACUACGUGCCAGCCGCCGCGGUAA